CUUUAGUUAAAAUGCCUGGCCAGGUAACUUCUUAAUUAUUGUAUCUAUUUAAUUAAGGAUUCCCCUUUAAGAAGGCUGAACUCCCAUGAGCCUUCUUUUUUAAACAGGUAGAGGGUGGAAGGGAGGCAGGUUUUGUGUUCUGGGUUCCUCCAUUUUGUGUAUGGUGGUGUGGUUUGUGUGCAGGUUCUGAAUGGGUUCCAGUUGUAUUUCAAGAUUUUAUCUACAAGAAAAUUAUAUUAAAUAAGAACUAUACCUACCUUGGAGCAUCUCUUGGACAACUUGUUGCUGUUGGACUGCCACUGGAACUACAGAAUAAGCAUCAACAAACAAACAAACAAACAAACAGUCGGGUCUGUGAGGAUGAGAAGGUCUCCACAGUCUGGAGUCUGGUCUCUGACAGGCUCAACAUACCUGUCAAUCAACAGGGACUCCUCUACAAACGCAAGGCGCUGGCAGGUAGGCUGAACAGCACAGCACAGCACAGCACAGCUCACCCCUCGCCUCACCCCUCCUCACCUCGGGUCAGUGUGGCACAGCCUGCCUGCUCUUCUGAACAAACACUUCAGCUCUGCCGACGCAGUGAGAGUCUGGAGCAGCAACACAAGGUAAUGAAGUGACACUUUGAAUAUGGGGCCUGAUGAGAGAAGUAUCCUUUUCAUGUGGUUUUGGUUUUGCCGUUGUGAGCAGGUGUGGGAGACAGCACCGUGUCUGCAUGUGAAAUAACAAAGUCAUCGCAGUGGAGGGACUCUCUGAAGGCUGCUGUUUGUGGAUUUGUCUUGUAAUGUGAGUGAUCUACUGUACUGUGAUGCCACUGUCUGUACGCACGCUGCACUGUAGGAGAGACACCGCUAGCAUUCACAGGGCAUGCUUGUUCAUUUAAAGCACUACUUUAAAGACCCAUAUGACUUCAUAGAAAAAAUUAAAACAUUCAAACUACCAGAAACAGCUUUUCUCUUCACAAUAGAUAGACAGCUUGUACACAAACAUAGAGACCAACACAGGCAUUGCAGCUAUCAGGAACUGUCUAAAUCUAAAUCCAGAUCCAACCGGACGAGGAACUGAACUCCUGUAAAUCAGCUUAACGAAAAACGACUUUGAAAUCGACAGCCAGUUCUACCUCCAAACCAAAGGAACAGCGAUGGGGAAACGCUUUGCGCCAUCAUAUGCUAACAUCUACAUGGCCGAUUGGGAAGAAACAAUCCUCCCCAGAUGCCCACACAGACCAACUCACUAUUUCAGGUACCUAGAUGACAUUUGGGGCACUUGGACACAUAGCAUGGAGGAAUUUACAAAUUUCAUCUCGUUACAUAACAGCGAAGUAAACUUUUUAUACACCACCACUUACAAAGGACCACAUUUUUCACAAACACACCAACUAGACACCAAAGUAUAUUUUAAAGAAAGACACACACGACAGCCAUAGGCUCUGUUUGAGGAGCCAAUUACGUAUGUCAAACAAGGAGCAUAUUUGAUCCAAUCAAAAGUGAUUGAAGGUAAUAAAACAUGUUAUUUUAAAAUACUGCGUGGACACAGCAGUUCCACUUAGUCACCACUGUGUGGCAGCAUUGAUAAUGAAAUAUUUAACAGUUUUGCAGUGCAGGAAAAUAAAUGGCACCUCGCAUUUUAUCAUGUUUGACGUCUACUGCCUUAAAUAUUUAAACUGGGGGGGGAUAACGACAGCUUGAUUUGCCUGAGGCUUGUUAACCACAAUCCCAGGGGUUUGAUUUCAGAUGCAAGGAAAAAAAAAAAAAAAAAGUCUUGCCUAAUGAAUAUUUACACUAGAAUACAGAAUUAACCAAACAAAUAAGAGAUAAAAACUUU
Long non-coding RNA from Acipenser ruthenus (sterlet), 1821 nucleotides. RefSeq lists it as uncharacterized. The record is from RefSeq and is a predicted model, not a curated record. NCBI's taxonomy places the organism in Eukaryota, Metazoa, Chordata, Actinopteri, Acipenseriformes, Acipenseridae. The transcript is spliced from 3 exons.